GGGUUGUGAGGUUAAGCGACUAAGCGUACACGGUGGAUGCCCUGGCAGUCAGAGGCGAUGAAGGGCGUACUAAUCUGCGAUAAGCGCCGGUAAGGUGAUAUGAACCGUUAUAACCGGCGAUACCCGAAUGGGGAAACCCAGUGUGAUUCGUCACACUAUCAUUAACUGAAUCCAUAGGUUAAUGAGGCGAACCGGGGGAACUGAAACAUCUAAGUACCCCGAGGAAAAGAAAUCAACCGAGAUUCCCCCAGUAGCGGCGAGCGAACGGGGAGGAGCCCAGAGCCUGAAUCAGCAUGUGUGUUAGUGGAAGCGUCUGGAAAGGCGCGCGAUACAGGGUGACAGCCCCGUACACAAAAGCGCAUGUGCUGUGAGCUCGAUGAGUAGGGCGGGACACGUGGUAUCCUGUCUGAAUAUGGGGGGACCAUCCUCCAAGGCUAAAUACUCCUGACUGACCGAUAGUGAACCAGUACCGUGAGGGAAAGGCGAAAAGAACCCCGGCGAGGGGAGUGAAAAAGAACCUGAAACCGUGUACGUACAAGCAGUGGGAGCACCCUUUGGGUGUGACUGCGUACCUUUUGUAUAAUGGGUCAGCGACUUAUAUUCUGUAGCAAGGUUAACCGAAUAGGGGAGCCGGAGGGAAACCGAGUCUUAAC
RNAcentral lists this ribosomal RNA (653 nucleotides) under Salmonella enterica subsp. enterica serovar Enteritidis. RNAcentral describes it as "partial 23S ribosomal RNA". It matches the Rfam family "Bacterial large subunit ribosomal RNA", at positions 1 to 688 of the family's 2925-position model. The record is from RNAcentral. Lineage: Bacteria; Pseudomonadati; Pseudomonadota; Gammaproteobacteria; Enterobacterales; Enterobacteriaceae.